GAUGAACGCUGGCGGCGUGCUUAACACAUGCAAGUCGAGCGAAGCACUUGGAAGUUUUCGGACGGAAGAGUGACUGAGCGGGCGUCGGGCGAAGGUACGCGUAGGUAACGUGCUCAUACAGGGGAUAACAGUUAGAAAUGACUGCUAAUACCGCAUAAGCGCACGGAUCCGCAUGGAUCUGUGUAGAAAAACUCCGGUGGUAUGAGAUGGACCCGCGUCUGAUUAGCUAGUUGGUGGGGUAACGGCCCACCGAGGCGCGAUCAGUAGCCGACCUGAGAGGGUGACCGGCCACAUUGGGACUGAGCACGGCCCAA
This 314-nucleotide ribosomal RNA is filed under the name uncultured bacterium. RNAcentral's name for it is "bacterial SSU rRNA". It matches the Rfam family "Bacterial small subunit ribosomal RNA", at positions 28 to 334 of the family's 1533-position model. The record is from RNAcentral.